This 227-nucleotide non-coding RNA is filed under the name Robinsoniella peoriensis. Lineage: Bacteria; Bacillati; Bacillota; Clostridia; Lachnospirales; Lachnospiraceae. The record is from RNAcentral.
CCGCAUGGCAAGGCGUAGCGAGCCACCAUUAGCGAGUCUUGGGUUCUGACUGGUAACAGUCAGGGCUAAGCGUAGACAGUUAGGGAGCAGGGUUGUAAUGCUAUAGAGCUCCGAAAUUUUACAAAGUCCCGAAGGCCGACGCAGUUUAUCCAUGCGGAAGGCAACAUCAUGGCAGACGUUAAGGAUUCAGGAGCGAGUCUGUUGUGGCUUCGGCGGAGUCUGAGGGC